AACCUACGGGGCGCAGCAGUGGGGAAUAUUGGGCAAUGGGCGCAAGCCUGACCCAGCGACGCCGCGUGAGGGAAGACGGUCUUCGGAUUGUAAACCUCUUUCAGCAGGGAAGACAAAAGGACGGUACCUGCAGAAGAAGCCACGGCUAACUACGUGCCAGCAGCCGCGGUAAUACGUAGGUGGCAAGCGUUAUCCGGAAUUACUGGGUGUAAAGGGUGUGUAGGCGGGUUUGCAAGUCAGAUGUGGAAAUUAUGGGCUUAACCCAUAACCUGCCUCUUAAACUACA
This 286-nucleotide ribosomal RNA is filed under the name uncultured bacterium. Its description in RNAcentral is "partial 16S ribosomal RNA". It matches the Rfam family "Bacterial small subunit ribosomal RNA", at positions 335 to 637 of the family's 1533-position model. The record is from RNAcentral.